AAGGGGGNGCNAGGUGGAAACUUAGGUCCUUCUUAAAAGUUGCGGGGUUCAACCCCGUGAUGGGANAGNAAACCGAGAUUCUUGAGUGCAGGAGAGGAAAGCGGAAUUCCCCGGUGUAGCNGUGAAAAUGCGUAGAUNUCGGGAGGGAACACCAGUGGCGAAGGCGGCUUUCUGGACUGUGACUGACACUGAGGCUCGAAAGCCAGGGUAGCGAACGGGAUUAGAUACCCCCGGUAGUCCUGGCCGUAAAC
This 251-nucleotide ribosomal RNA is filed under the name uncultured bacterium. RNAcentral's name for it is "partial 16S ribosomal RNA". It matches the Rfam family "Bacterial small subunit ribosomal RNA", at positions 563 to 807 of the family's 1533-position model. The record is from RNAcentral.